CUUAAUGAAAAGGCUUAUCAAA
RNAcentral lists this microRNA (22 nucleotides) under Equus caballus (horse). RNAcentral's name for it is "eca-miR-9085". The record is from miRBase by way of RNAcentral. Lineage: Eukaryota; Metazoa; Chordata; Mammalia; Perissodactyla; Equidae.